This 20208-nucleotide long non-coding RNA is filed under the name Malus domestica (apple). RNAcentral's name for it is "long non-coding RNA (MDOM_LNC000862)". Lineage: Eukaryota; Viridiplantae; Streptophyta; Magnoliopsida; Rosales; Rosaceae. The record is from RNAcentral.
AAAAUUGUCAAAAUUGAGAUGGAUAUGAUGGUGAAAUAGUAAAAGGUUUGAGCACGAAUUUUGUGACGGCAGAAAACGCUGCGAAAAAAAAAUCCGAAGAGGGCCCCAAGUCCUUGCUAAAGAUUUUGCACUGUGACUUUCGCAACCUCUUCGAAAUUGAAAUUGAAAACUGGGGUUUGAUCUGGUAUCAGCCUCAGUGGAUGGGUCGUAUGAAAAGGCGUGGGGUUACAUUCUAAUAUUGAAUGCCAGCCUAGACUGCUCCCAACAUUUUAAUAGUUGCUAGUACGCUAGUUGCUAUCUGCCGUCACGAAGUUCCUGCAUUGAUCAAAGAUCUUUCUGCUGAUCCAUCUAUGUGAAUGUGAUAUGAUUGUGGCGGAUUGCCGUUAUUUGUUUCGGUCUAGAUUUGAAGUUCGGAUUUUUUGUUGUGGUUGAAAAAUUGGGAAAAAGGUUUGGGAUUUAUGAGAAAAUGCUGUAGAACCCAAUUUUUUUCUUUGAAAUUUGAUGGUAUGGGGUCAAGCCAGUGUAUGUUUGAUUUGAUUGUAUGAGCUUUAACUUGUUGGUUGUAUGAUUGAAUCUGUAGGUUGUGUUUUCUUGUUUUCAGAUUGCAGGUAACUCUAGUGUUUCCGAUGGCAGUGUUGAUAUUGUGCAUUUAAAACAAAUCCUUUGUGUGUAUAAUCUUAUUGUAAGUGAAUGGUGCAUGGUUUUUAUGUGAUGGGUUGCCAAGUUUGUGCGGUUUUGGUCGUCUGGAUGCCCGCAUUUCCUUUCUAUGAGAGGUUUUAUGAUGUUUGGCAUUAAAUUUUGCCUCGAGUUGAUGAUUAUCUUGUUUUCAUCUUGGUCAAUUAGGGUAUCCCCUUGUUGAUGUGUUUAGCUAUUUAUUUUUCAUAUGCAUAGCUGCGCGUUCUCUACUGGUAGCAAGAGUCCAUUUAAUCACGUUAAUUUCCUUGUCUUCCAUUUUGAUUGUUGAAGAGUCUCUCUGCUGGAGUGUCUGUUUCUAGAGCUACCAAGAUUCUAUUGUCUCCUCCCCCACAGUUAAUCGCCUCUUUUUUCACCUUGAAGCCAUUGGCGACAUUCAGAUUUGAUUCCCAUAUCAAUUGUGCGCAAACACGUCACAUGAAAGUAUAGGCAUUACUGUUUGGUUCAACAUGGCCUUUACAUCGUGUUCUAAAGGUUGAUGUGAUUACUUGUUCAUUUGAGUGUUUGACCAUGUAUUUCGAGUUAACUCUGUGAAAAGUAUUGCGUGUUGUGCCUUGUUUAGGAGGCGGUCUAGCUGGGAUCAACCCGUACAUCUUCUGAAUCAGUUUAUGACUCAGGUAUUCAAGUUCUGGACAAGAAGAGAACACAAUAGUGUGAAAUGAAAUUUGAGCAAUGUCAGCCCUGGCAGCAUCCUUCGACAUGCUCUGAAUUGUGUAAAAUAGUAGAGAAAUGUCAGUUUUCCUGGGCUGCAGACGUUUGUACCUAGAGUGAUAUGUAGUGCUUAUUUAAGAAAAAAAGAGGCCACUGUUGUUUUUGAUAUCUGAAAUAUUCAAGAUAAUGACACUGCAUUUGCUUGUUCGUUUCUGAAGAUGACAAUGUAUCAGCGGGCGCGACCCACCCACACUAUCUCUCAUACAAAAAAUAAACGGAUGAGAUUGAAAAUAUAAGAUCUAACAUUUCUAGAAAUUAAAUCUAAUGGCUAAAACACGAGUCACUGAGUGCUACAUUGCAUUGAAGUUGGACUCCAAAUGUAGUAUAUCUAUCAUUUAUGAGUUUCAAAUGCGUAGGUUUCGAGCAAGUGAUUUGAAAAAAGAAAGGGUUUCCUAUGAGAAUUAUUAUCGGUACAAAAUUUUAUUGGACACUUCUGGUAAGUGUAUUUAUUUUCUUCUUUUACAUGUGGUAAGUUUAAAAUGCACAAUUAUACUUUUAGAGUGUCAAUAACAGUUAUCGUUCUGGUCUAGGAGUAUUUCUCUUCAUCUAGAAGUGAGAGGUCUUAGGUUCAAAUCUAGUGGAUGGCGAAUUCAAUACUAAAUUAGGUUGCUUAUUGUGUAGUUUAACCGAACUUUCUCUUCUCUUAGUGUAAAAAUAUAUCGAUGUAUUAAAAAAACAGUUACUGUUCUUAUUUGGGCCGUGUUUAUCAUGCCAAUUUUAACCUAUGCAUUCAUUUGAAUGAAAUUGAUUAAAUUAAUUUAAUUAGUUGAUUGUUUAUUUCAAGUAUAUAUUUUUAAUAAUUAAAAAAUAUUAAAAAAUUCAGAAAAAAAAAGAAGAAACUUUUCCACCUUAAAUAAAAAUGAGUGUUGAAUUAAUAGAGCUUCUAAAAUGGAAAAGUGACGCCGACCAUAUACGAGGGAUACACACUCACAAAAAGUUCACCAAAGAAUGAGUAUAUAGUUCCAAUCAGGAUCAUGAAUCAUCACUCCCACCUCUUUUGCUUUCAUGACUUUCUAGUUUGCUUGGAAAUAACUCACGUGUUAUAAUAUAAAUGAACGAUAAAUAGAGAGUAUAAUUUAAGACCAAAAGUCAUAAAUGGUUGCUUAUAAAGGCUUCCAUUUCGUCACAUUUAUCAUUGUGAUUUACUUCUUAUACCAAUUCGGUCUAUCGAUUGUUCAAUUUUCUUCAACUUGUCUAACUUGAUCCCCGCUUCACGUUUAGGGGUAUUAUAAUCUUAUCGUAUUCAAUUUCACUUAAUAGUUGGAAGAUGCAAGCUCAAGUUUUAGAACACGAUCUUUUGGGUAAGAUUAGGCACUUGCAACCAAGUUUUUUUCGAGUUUGUUUGGAGUGAAAUUCGCGUUCACUCCAAUUGGUCAAGUGAGAUUGUACACAACAAAAUGAUUAUACAUGGGCAAAACUUGUAUGCCAAGUUAAAUUAAUGUUACGAGUAAUGGCAUGUUUGGUUGCUUCUAUAAAAACACUUACCUUCAUAACCAUUUUUUUUCAGGAAGCACUUGAAUUUCUAAAUUCUAAGUUUUUAUACCGAACGCAGACAAAAAACAUUUUUAGACCUUCCAACAGUAAUCUCAAACAAUUCCUAUCGUGACAAUUUAAAUAAAGCACAUGUUAUAAUAUGAAUAGGUUUCAAGAUCGAGUUAAUAUUGAAAAUUUUUCAUUUGUUUGGCAUUCGAAAAAUCAAAAUAUUACAUAUAGGUGAAUCCGUGACAACACAUUUUUUAUCAAUCUCGUUUUCGGAUACUAUCGUCCAAUGAUGUGCGUAUUUUGGUGUGUGAAACACUAAGUAAUAAAGAAAUGGUUGACAAAAUCUUCUCAUAAAGAAGUUAUAAUUUAACUUAAGACGUGUUCUAUUUUUCUAAUUUUUCAAAAAAGUACAGAAAACAAAUCAAAUGACCGCCCCACUCAAAUUGUUUAGGUGGCCACUAGUUGACCUAACCAUAUAAUUUGGGUUUUAGUGUUGCAAACUGCAUCAUCUUUUCCACUGGGUUUCAAUAAUUUUCAAAUUAAAUAAAUAAAUAACGUACAAGGAAAUUCCAUAUCAUAUAUACAUAUAUAUAUAUAUAUAUAUAUAUAUAUAUAUAUAUAUAUAUAUAUAUAUAUAUAUCAGCCCCUUAACAGAAGGGAAUGGAAAUUAGUUGUGUGGUCCACACCAUAUUGAACUUCAAUGAUCUGAAUCGUCUAUUUUAUAAGUCUCGAUUUAUAGAUCGUUCUUACAAAAAUUUGAUUCAAUCCGAAACUAUUUGUCUAUUUAAUUGUUAUGAUGAUUUAACGUUUCUUAGAAAAAAGUGUUCGUCAAUUUCAUUUAACUCAAGUAGAUGUCUCAAAUAUUUCCGAUUUGGCUAAUAUUUUGCAAGGAUGAUAUGUGAGGUGCAACUUGGAAAAAUAGACAGUUUGAAUCGUUGAAGUUCGAUGUGGUGUGCGUUGCAGCACCAAUCCCUAAUUUUUUUUAAAUGAAAAUUCAUUUCCUUAAAGAUUAUAUAUAUAUAUAUAUAUAAAUAUAUAUUUCGCAUUUUAUGUUCUGUUUGUAUAAUAUAAUAGAGAUAAUUCUUCUUCACUUGUAAGUGAGAUAUUUUAGGUUUAAUUCUCGUUAAAUGCGAAUUUGAACAAAAUUACUGCUAACUCAUUGUGAGACUAAACCUACUUCCUCACAUUUAGUAUAUAUAAUAUCGUUUGUUAAAAAUAAAAGGGAUCAAUGUCGUGGGAGAAGAGCAAGCAACUAAAAAAGUUUGAGAUGAAAAUAGUUUUAUACUCUUCAUUAUAUUAAUUUGUUAUUAAAUUAUCAUUUGAAAAAUAAUAUCUUAAGACGUAAGUGGUACUGAAAAAUGUUAGGCUUAUGCCAUUUAUGGUACAAUAGCUACGUCAUCGUCGACAACCGUAUGAGUAAGUGAUUUUUAAUUUAUGUUCAUUCGAUUAAAUAAAUCAAAAGAGAACAAAAAUAAAAAAAAUAAAAAAUAAAAAGUUUACAAAAGAGAAAAAGAAGCAUGCAAAAAUCACUAUAACUAUUUCUCUUGAAUAAUUAUAGUAUGGAUUGCAUAUUUCACUCUGUCUACUUCGGAUUGUUUUGAGCAAUCUAAGGUAAACACGAAUUUAUUCAAGCACCCUAGCUUGUUGAGAAUUUUUGUUAAUUAAACGGAUUUGACUAUACGUCUUUUUAUUGUAUCUUGCUUGAUGAUUAUUAAUAAAGUUUUUUCCCUCGUGCCAUGGAGGUUCUCUAAAAUCAAUUAUAAGUAUAUAUAGACUGAACAAAUUAGCUUGUCAAGAAAGAAAUACUAUACUAAUCUUUGUUAAACAUUGUUAAGAAAAAGAGGUCCAAAUCUUGUGGAAAAUGAUUAGUAGGUAUAACGAAAGUACACCAGGUGGUUCGUUUACAAAUUUUUUGGUAACAAAAAAUAAUGCUGGAAAAUCAUGAACCAUGCAAACAAUGAAGAUAAUUAGGCCAUCUUCAAUUGAAAGAGCUAAAUAUAGGCACAUUCUUUUUCGUUGAUUUGAGAAUGUAUUUAUGUCAAGUUUAAUCGAAUAAAUUUAUUAAUGUUAUUAAGUCUAAUAUCUUUUUUUUUUGUGGCUUUGAAGAAUGUUUUGGACAAUAAUUUUUUGUUAAUUUUGAUAAAUGUACCCAUGUUUAUAUAUAUAUAUAUAUAUAUAUAUAUAUAUAUAUAUAUAUAGACACACACAAAAAAUAUAUUGGAGAGUAAUAAUUUAAAUUUUAAUAUUUUUAAUCUCACAAAUUAUGGGUUUUAUUUAAAUCUCUUUAAUAUAAGCAACUACAUAUUUUAAUUUUUAAUUCAAAAAAAAAUAUAGUAACUUACAUAGAAAUACCAAGGUUCUAAAAAACGCUAAGUGAGGCCUAGGUGGACGCCUAUGCGGAUUUAAGUAAAUCAUAUAAAUAAGUGCCUAUUUAUACUUAAAUAGUACAUAAUUGUAUUAAGAAUCUGAGAUACAUAAAUUACAAAAUAAAAUGACAUAUAGAUUAAUUAAUUUAUAUAUAUAUAUAUAUAUAUUAUUGUUGACCCUAGAAACUACAAAGCCUACGUGGCGCGCAGGCCGAGUAAUUAAUGAGCUAACUACGUCCUUCGGUGAAUGCGGGGCGUGCCAACUCGUCGGCCGAGCUCGGCCGAGGAGUAAAUUUGUUGAUGUUGCGUUGGGUCGCGCUACUGACUUCUGCGUCUUGCGAUUGCGGCCGAGAAAGGAACACGUCUCGGCCUCUUGGGCUCUCGAACCUGAAGACAAGGUUACUAUUCUUACGAAGUUCAAUAUCAAAUUCGGCUUUCAAUGUGCCGAAUGUAAUAACUGUAACACCUCACUUCGCCGAGAAGGCUGAUGAGAUGACCUCGACCAAUAAGGAUUUAGAAAUCCUCCUCGACCGAGGCUUGGAUAGGUAAUCAAUCGUUCUCGCCGCAAUGCUGUUGAUGCCAACGGAAGGUACUGCGAGACCGACUGACUCUACGGUGAUAGAGCUAUUUAUGCCGACUUAAGAUAUCACCGGUUGCUUCCACAGUGCUGUUGAUGCCAACGGAAGAUGUGUCAGCGAAAAAGGAAAAAGAAAAAUCACAAGUUGUGAGAAUUUGCGCAGGGCAGUUUUGUAUUGAUUUGCAGGGGGCUUGUUAUGUUGCUAAAUGUCUUGUAUUUAUAGUAGCAGCACAUCGAGCCCGAGUUCCAAUCCUAUUCGGACUAGGUUUCCUUCUCCGGAUUAACAUCCCCUCGAUCAGUCCUAUCUCCGCUAGGACUACGAAUCUAGUCCUUAACUGAGCCGGAUUCGCUUUCUAGAUUAUUGAUCUCGUCGAGAGUCACUAUUGUACUAAGACUCGACUUGCGUUCUGAUUUAACCGACUUAGGCUUGGAAGCCCAUGAGCUGAACGCUCCAUGACCCUUUCGUCGCCCGGCUUCUCGGGCCGAGAGUGAUUCUACCCUCGGCCCAAACUAUUAUUUUGGGCCCAAACAAUUAUAAAAUAGGAGUAAAUAUGUAAAAUUUUAGGGUUCCUUAUCUUGGUUUUCUAACAUUUUUUCCCAAGUCUAUAUAUAUAUAUAUAUUUUUUUUUUUUUUUAAUUUAUUAUUAUUAUUUUUUUUUUUUUUAGGUGACAAGUCAAUAUGUUUUGAUCAUUGUUGGUCCUUAUUUUUCAUUCGAAAAAGGAUUAGGCUUUGUUUUCACAUUAAAUAAUGACAUAAUUAAUUCUCUAAUUCUAAAAGAAAUAUCAGUCACUUAAAACCCCUAACUCUAACCCUAGCAAACAAAUAACCUCACCGUCUCAUUCUUCUUAUUUGCAAAUUGAAAUUUUAUAGAGCUCUGUGCUGUCUCAUUAUUCUUCUAUGCAAAUUGCAAUUUUACGGAGCGAUCUCUAUCUCUCUUCAAAUUUUCUAUGCCGACUCAUCUUAUAGGCAAGCAGAGAAGGGACAGGACGCAUCGACGCGACAAAAACGCAACGAGAUGGUGGAGAUGCACUACUUUUUCAGUGACAACUUUUAAAAAAAAAAUUACAUAACCACCAGAGGCCACCAACGCCUAUUAGCCCUCCCAGGCAACCGUCUAGGUGUUGCCUAAUAGUCUAGCCAACUGAUUGAACGAUUUUGGUACAAUUACAGCAGUGGGCUAUUGUUGAGCACCUACGUCGAUUUUUAGAACAUUAAGAAAUACAUUAUUACAUUAAUGUUAGGGAUUUCGAUGAAAAACUGAAAACCAACAAGAUUUUAGUUAAAUAAUAUUGAUAGCUAGGGACCGUAUCCAAAGUCUCCCAAAAUUAACCAUGGUUAAAUAAAAGGACACUUGACAUAUGAUUAGGUGUAUGGUAAGCAUGCAUCAAAGUUUAGGGUUGUGAGCAAAAGUACUCCCUUGCUAUUUUUACCGUCUAUUUGUACCAUCUCUCUAAUAGAGAUGAGACCCACAUAUGUUGGUGGACCCUCCUCUAUCAGAGAGGUGACACUAAGGAUGGGCAAUGGUUAUGCGGGCGGGUAACCGCGGUUAAUUUACCCAUAACCGUUUAUGCUCAUACCCGCAUAACCGUUUACCCGUUGGGUAAUUGCCUAAACGGUUAUACCCAUACCCAUAACCAUUUAUAAACGGUUAACCAUACCCAUAACCGCAUACCCAUUUAACCGUAACCGUUUAAUACCCGUUUACCCAUUUAUCAUUUUUAACCCGUUUAUCUUUUUUUUUUUACCAUUACCCUUUUUUCACCUGUCUACAUGUUUUUUAACAACUUGAAAAUUAAAAAAAAAUUGUCAAAAUUUUUUUUUUUUUGACAAUUAAACACCGUUAUAGGUACAUUCAUCAUACAUUUCUAUAUUUUAAUUUUUUAAGUUCUUAUACCAUUCUAAUAAUUGAAAUAAUAGUUUACGGACAAUAUUUUUAACUGUUACCAAUGAAGGUAAAUAUAAUAUUUGCUAAGUAUUAUUAGGUUACAAAAAUUGUUUAGAAGAUAUUUCUGUCAAAACAUUUCUAUCAAUUUCACGGUUACCCACAAAGAAUUUAAAUUAAUUUGGCCAAUUCCUUGAUGAUGAGAAUCAUCAUUCCUGUAGUAGUGUUAUUGAGAGAAUGACCGAUGAAUUCUUUGCUAAUUUAUUGGGUGCUAAAUAUUAUUGGAUUGAGAACAUGGUUUGUGUUAAUUUUACAUAUAUAAAAUAAAUGGGUAAACGGUUAUCCAUUUAUAACCGUGGUUAAUACCCAUAACCGCCCAUUUAAAUUUCGCAGGUAAACGGUUAUACCCAUAAUUGUUUAUUUAUCUAAACGGUUACCCAUAACCGUAACCGUUUAAUUUAAAUGGACGGGUAACCGUGGUUACCCAUAACCAAUAGGUAUUUGCCCAUCCCUAGGUGACACAAAUAAUAGUACAAAUAUGUGACAAGGGUAACAUUACUCAUAAUACAAUACCUUAAAAUGCUAGGAACCGUAUCCAAAGUCUCCCAAAAUUAACCAUGGUUAAAUAAAAGGACACUUGACAUAUGAUUAGGUGUAUAGUAAGCAUACAUCAAAGUUUAGGGUUGUGAGCAAAAGUACUCCCUUGCUAUUUUUACCAUCUAUUUGUACCAUCUCUCUAAUAGAGAUGAGACCCAGAUAUGUUGGUGGACCCUCCUCUAUCAGAGCAAGUCCACCCCUAGGGACUUUGCGCCAGCACCCAGCGCAUUUAUCCACUUAAGUGAACAGUAAUAGGCCAAGGCAUCUCCACCCCUAAAAAAAUGCGCUGGCACCCAGCACAUUUAUUUGGUGUGUUUUUUUUUUUUAAGUUUAUUUCGGAUAAGAUUUUUAACCAAUUUCAGAUAAAAUUUCAAAUAAACUUAAAAAAAAUACACACUAAAAUAAAAUUACAUACCCAUCAAAUAAACUUAAAAAAAACACACUAAAAUAAAAUUACAUAAACUCAUCAAAUAAACUAUAAAAAAAAACACACUAAUAUGAAAUUACAUAAACUCAUCAAAUACACUUUAUUCUUCAACCACAAGCUUUUUGGUAUUUUUUUUCACACAAAAAGUAUAUGAAAGCUUUGGUAGAAAGUGUAGAAAAUAUUGAAAUGUGGUGUAAGGUGGAAGAUGAGAGUUAGGUAUUUAUAGAAAAAUAAAUAAAUUUUUUUUAAAAUUUUCUGUAUUUUUUAAUAUUUUUUAAUUUAGUUAAUUAACGUGGACCGUUGAUCUGUGAUCGGACGGUCUAUUUUAAAAGUAAAAUUUUAAUUUUUUUUACCGUUCGAAAUCCAACGGCUAUGAGCAUGCCACGUCGUUGAUGGGAUUCGGAGCACAAGUGGGCUGACAGCCCCUCUGCAGCCUGUCGGCUACUCGCGCCCAGGCGCGCUUGUCGUGCAUGCGCCAGCCAAAUAGGCCGGCUUCUUGGUCUGUCAAAAUUGGGCUGGCCUGUUGCCUGGCAUGGGCUGGGUGCCAGGCAACUUUGUGGGCUGGAGCAAAUUCACUGAGGGCUGGCUUGUUUUUUGGACUGAGGGCUAGGACAUUUUGUUCCCGGUGGACUUGCUCUCAGAGAGGUGACACAAAUAAUAGUACAAAUAUAUGACAAGGGUAACAUUACUCAUAAUACAAUACCUUAAAAUGCACAUGACAUGUGCCACUUAGUACUACGUUCUAGUGGUAUUCCUCUUCACUUGUAAGUGAAAGGUCUUAGGUUCAAUUCUCGCUAGAGACAAAUUUGAACCAUAUUAUUACUAGCAUAUUAUCAGGCUUAACCCACUUCCACAGACCCAAUGAGAUUUCAUUAGUCUUUCCGGCCAACUGAAAUCAACUCAACUCCCCCCAAUUAAUUAUUAUUAACAACCAUCAAUACAAACCCAAACACAAUACAAUCGAACUGACUUAAUUUAAUUCAAUACGGGGACUUAAUUGUGAAUUUUUUUAGUGUAGCUAUCACAUUAUACGUAAUGUUAUCACUCUACUAAUGUUAUGAUAUGUGUGUUUAAUUAUUAUAUUAUAACCAAUUAGUAUUAUGAUUUAGUGGUAUUCCUCUUUGCUAGUAAGUCGGAGAUCUCAGGUUCGAUUCUUUGCCAAAGGCAAAUUUGAACCACAUUAUUACUAGCCCAUUGUGAGGCCUAACCCACUCCCCACCCUCUUAGUAUAGAUAUAUCAUUCGUUAAAAAAAAUUAUAUUAUAGCCUAACUCCCUAAAAUAUUGGCCGUGUUGUUCAAUAAUUUUACAUACCAUGUCAAUUAACAACACUAUGUGACAGUGCAAUUGUAAUACUCAAAGAAAAUAAAAUUUCAAAUUUGAGGAUCCAAACAAUUUGAAGGUCUAGUCCAAGUUAGAGCAUCCCUAAUUGAGCUUUAUCCUCCUUGAGGCUACCAUAUUUGUAGCUCUAAUGAAAAUUUUCAUCUCCAAUGGGCUGGAAAAUGAAGCUACAUCUACCACCUGGGCUAGCAACUUCAAUCAUUGGGUAACAAAGAGUUAGGCUACAUCUAGCCUAAAAAACGUAAGGGAAACCCACACCAGAUUGAGGGCCCAAUCUUCUCUUUUUUUUUUAAUUUUUUUUUAAGAAAUGGGUGAGCCCCAUUUUUAAUUCCAAAACAUGAUUUUAAGGGUUUAUUUUCCAACCGUUUAGGAUUUUAAAGAUUUUUUUUAACCGUUUGUUUGAUUAAGAAAACAUAUACAAACAACGAUUAUUUUUUGUGUGAUUGAUUAGAAAAAAAUGUUGUACUUUGUGUUUAAUUUUCAAAAAUUGAAAAAUUCAUAAAAAAAUGAUGAAAUUUAAUUGGUAGUAUUUAGAGACCUAAACCAAAAAUAUAAACAAAUAACAUAACUAAAUUGUGCUAAGAUAAUCCAAUCCAAUGGUUGUUAUGAAAUGAAAAUCUUGUUUGAUUUUGGAGAAUGUGUCAAUCUGAGAGAAAAACCAACGGAUGAGAUUGAGAUAAGAUAAACACAUCCAAUGGUUGUUAUGAAAUGAAAUCCUAUCUUGUCUGAUUUCAUAGAAACAAACCAAUGAAUGAGAUUGAGAUAAGAGAGCCUCCAACAAUGCAUAAAUGAUAAAAUCUAACUUUGUCAGAAUUUGAAUAUUUUAAGGUUAAAAAUUUCAUAAAUUAAAAUUUAAGAUAACACUCCAAAAAUCAAGUUAAGAAAAGUUAAGACAAAAAUAAAUUUACUGCGCAAUCAAAUUACUACAAAAUAAAAUAUAUAACCUCAUAUAAAGCCCGAAAGAUAUAAAGCCCCUUAUGAGAGAAAUUCUUUUUUUUAGAGCCCAAAAGAUUCCUCGGAGGUCUAAAUUGGGAUAUAUCCAUCGCUUUCUAGCCCCAUAUAUAGCCCUUCAUUGGGAUGCUCUUACAAACCAAAACAUGAUUAUCAGGGAUCGCGUUGCUCAAUCAUUUUAUAUACCAUGUCAAUUAACAACACUAUAUGACGGUGCAACUGUAAUACCCAAAGAAAAUAAAAUUUCAAAUUUGAGGAUCCAAACAAUUUGAAGGUCUAGUCCAAGUUACAAACCAAAACAUGAUUCUCAAGGACAAUAGUGGUGGAGUGGAGUGGUGGCUUACCAAUGUUUAAGAUACGGUUGAUAUUUCCAUAGAAAUAUCCAAAAAAAUUAGGGAGAGAUAUGGAAAUGGGUGAUGAAGUCUAAACUUCACCUCAUAUCGAAGAAAUUCUUAAGUUUAUACUAAAAUCGAGAUAUAUCGUCGAUAUUUUUAACACAUUUGUUAAAUAUUGGAGAAACUCUUAUAUUUCAUACAAACCAAUGUUUGAUAGUCCCUAAAUUUUCAUAUUAAAUUUCCAUCAUUUCCAUCGAAAGUAACAGAUGUCGAUAUCAAUAUUUUCACAAAUUUGCAUAUCGAUAUUUCCAUUUAUACUGAUAUUUUAAACAUUAUGGCUUAUCCAUCCGCAUGGUAUAUGAAUUAUGGAAAACUCAUAUGACACCGAUGCUGAGAAACCUUACCAUUUGAAAUCCAAUCAAAGGAUUACUGAAAAUGUAGAAACAUUAUAUGGACCUAAAACUAGUACUGUUUGGUCACCAUGCAAGAUCAAAUUACUGUGUUGCUCAUGCAUGAAUUUAUAGGCUAUCACCAACAAAAUGCCGAGACAUUCAUUCAUAUAUGUCUGGUUGUAUUGUAUGUGAACUAUUUUGGCACUUUUUCUUUAACCUAGAGACGUAUACAUGAUUGAUCCUUUUUUUUUUUUUUUAUAAUAUAAUUUCAUUACUUUUUUGGCUCCACUUUUUCGGGGUCUAGAAUACUCACAGAGGCAUUUCAGCUUCUCCUGUCCAUUAUUGUGUGAUUCACCAGCACUAGAAAUCGAACCUAGGAUAUGUCGUGUGGAAUAUGAGCCUGUAAUUCGUCCCCAACCACUGAGCCACCUCGCGGUGAUUUUUCCCUCGAACAUUCUUAGGGUUGGUUUUAUAGUACCAUUUUUCACAGAAAAUUUUCUUGUUGUUAUAAAUAGAACGGAAUAAAAAUGUAUUUUUUCUUUUAAUACUAUUUUCAUGUAUAUUUUUUUCAUUUUCUUCCCACCAUUGUUCAUAUAUUUUUUUUCUCCCAUCAUAUUUACUCUCUAUUAUCAAUAAAAAGGUGAAAACUAUGAACUCAAAACGAAAUCGCUAUCAGACGACAUUUCCACUUAUAAUUUUAUAAUACAAGCAAUAACAAAAGAGAGAAAACUGAACAUGAGAAAUAUCGACAAAAAAAAAAGAACAUGAGAAAAAUAUCAAGAGAGGGGAAAUCAAACACAAAAUAUCUACUGUUAAGAAAAAUACUGUUACCCACUGGAACUACAACUCCAUGGGAGACAUAUUGUUAUUAUUUACUUCCUCAAAUCUGAACUUUUACUGAUUUAUUACGAUCAUUUUACCAAGAAAACCAUUCCGAUUUCAUUGUAAGUAAACAUGCUCUAUAAUUUUGUCAUUUACUUACAUGGCACCAACUCUGAGUGGACCCAUCAUGGCGCUGGGCCCCAACUUUUGCCCUAAACUACUAAGUGCAGCAUAAACAUCCAAAUAGUUGCCAACCCCUUCCCAUUAGAUAUAUACUUGUUAAAUAAUAUUAAUAAUAAUAAAAAUAAUAAUUUACACCUCAAUAAAUUUAAGUUAUUCAAAUUGAGAACUUUAACGAAAAGCUCAUGAUACUGUUCACUUUAAUGAAAAACCACAUUUUUAUACUAAAAAGUUAAUCAUGGUACUAUUCACUUUACCCUUUAUUUUGUCCUUAUCGUUAAAACUUAAAGUUUUCAAGCCAUUUUCAUUAGUUUUUCUAUUAAAAUUAGCUAGUUGAAUUAAAAAGAAAAUGAAAAUGCAUACCUGCUUGGAUGACGAGUUUAUAUAUAAUUAUUAUGGAAUAUAAAUGACUUAUUAUAUGUGUUUAACCAAAUUUUUACAUUUUAUAAUCAAACAUCAUCAUAUAAAAUGAAAGACAAAGCAAUUGUAGACUGCUUGUAAUCAAGUUAGCCAGACAAUGUAGCCUUCUGUAUUCAAGUUCGAAUUUUUUCCGUCUUAUUGUUUAAAUUAAUUAGAAUAUCAUUUUGUUAAAAAAGAAACACAAAAAAUGAAAAUACUUAUCCCACAAAACAAAUGGAUACAAAUUGAUAAUUGUUUCUGUACAAGCCAGAAAAACUGGCAUAAAAUGCCAAAUACAUUCUUCUGACUGUUAAAUCUCCGCCCUUCCUUCCUUAUCACACCAUCUCUCUCUAUAUCUUUUAUUUCUCCUUCUCUACCUUUUUUUUUCCUCCUUCAUUUCCCCAUUAUCUUCCACUGUGUUCUUCUUCCUCUCCUCGUUAUCCAAAACUCUCGAGCUCCAAACUUUGAGAGAGAAACUGAUAUAGAGAGAGAAAGAAAGAGCAAGCUUUCCUCCAUAUCUUCUUCUUCUUCUUCUUCUUCUGCAUAAUUAUUAUCUUAAUUAUGGCUUUCUACAUGCAUGGCUAUUAAUUGGUGCAGUAAGCUCCUUGUUUUCAACACUUAGAAAAACAAAGUCUUCCACUUUCUUUUCAAAUACUCGGUAAAUGUUCGAAGUCCUACAAACGUUCAAAGUUUUCAGUGUUUUCUUUAAUUAUAUAUUUUCACUUAAUAUUCAAUUUAGCUAUAUAUUUUUGUGCUAACUUUAUGAGUUUAUGGAUUAGUGGAUAAUUAAUUUGUGGUUAGUAUUGCCUUAUGCUUUAAACCUUAUCCUAGUUUUUUCCAAUCUUAUUAACACUGGUUUAAUGAAUUAAUAUAUAUGUUUAGGAGAGUAAUUAAGUAAGUUCAAGUUUAAGCUCAUUCCUUCAAGAGCAAGCUGCAAAAAUGGCGCCCAGAAACAGCCGUGGAAAGGGAAAAGGAGACAAGAAGAAGAAAGAAGAAAAGGGUAUUUAUCAUUAUCUUAUAUUUCUUAUUCAAAUUGCUAAUUUUGGAUUACGUAAGUUAAGCACCGAUUAAGUUAACUAAUUAAUCAUUUGUCCGUUUUUUUUUGCUCUGCAGUUCUUCCUGUUGUUAUGGAUAUCACUGUGAACCUUCCUGAUGAAAGCAGUGUCGUUUUGAAGGUUGUUAGAUUAUAAUUUUUUAAUUUAAAAAAGCUAAAUUCCUAAGUGUUUCUGUCUGUCUUGUUACUUGUACUCUUUGGAAGACAUUGGUUAAGAGCAUAUGUUUAGUUCUUAACUUGUUCAGUGGUUGGAUUUGAAUAUGUACUAACUCCUAAACACUUUCACCUACUUUCCCAUGAUUAAAGUUAGUUUUUUAGGGCUAGAAUGUAAUGACAAAAGUUAUACUAUUUUGUAUGUAUUGACGUUGAAUCUACUAUAUUUACUGAUUACAUACUCUUUAUAAAGAUCGAUUUAUGCAUCAGAAUUUUAUAUAUGUAAAAUAACAGGAUAGUUUUGAACAGGGAAUAUCGACAGAUAAGAUUAUCGAUGUUCGUCAGCUGUUAUCAGUGAACACAGAAACUUGUAACAUUACGAACUUUUCACUAUCUCAUGAGGUAAUUUCCAUUACCCACAUUAUUUCUUUUUUCUUUUUAUCAUUAUUAUUUCAAAGUAUCGAUUUCCCCUUUUGGAUAAGUAUCAAAAAUGGGAUGUAGUUGAAGGAAUUCAAUCCCUUUGCAUUACCAAAUCAAAAGCCAUUACUGUCGUUGCUAAAGGAGAAUAAACGACAAUUGUGACAAAAAAAUAAAAAAAGGAGAAUAAACGACCAUAAUGUUAUUGUCGUUUAUGGCAGGUAAGAGGGCAACGAUUGAAGGACACGGUGGACGUCUCCGCACUGAAGCCGUGCGUUCUGGCGUUGGUCGAAGGUAAUAGUCAAAACGUAUUCCGACGUCGUUUUAUCUCCACUUUUUAUGAUCUUUAUGCCCCGUAGGAAUUGGACACUUGAGGGCCCAUUGGGCCAGAGUGUCCGAACGUCGUCGUAUUAUGCUUCUUCUUCCUCAGUCAAAUUUCUCACUCUCUGUGCUUCUCAGAGGACUACGAUGAACAGCGCGCCACGGCGCACGUUAGACGCGUGCUCGACAUUGUUGCCUGCACGACAAGCUUCGGAGCGUCGUCUUUGCCGGCGAAGGACCAAAGAUCGAAGCUCGAUGCUUCUUCAACUGGCUCCGGCAAAAAUGCUCCGGUUGCGCAGGAUAAGAUCUCCAAGAAAUCCAACGCCACGACCGCCGCCGCCGUCAACGCCUCCAAGUCUCAAGUUCCUACCGGAACCGAUAAGCGAGACGUGGCGGGGGACUCGGAGACCGAGAUGAGCCACUCCUGCCUCAAGCUUGGUUCUUUCUACGACUUCUUCUCUCUCUCCCACCUCACUCCCCCUUUGCAAUGUACUUUCUCUCCUCCCUCCCUCUCUACUACGUGUAUACGUAUGUACGUAUUUAUCUGUGUAUUUGGAAGCAGAAUUUUGAAUUUUUGAAAAAUUGAGUGUAAAUGCUUAUGAAUUUUGCAGUUAUUCGAAGGGCGGCGAAACGGCAAGUCGAUGAGAUUGCGGCGGAUGAUCACAUUUUUUCUCUAGAAGUAAGACCUUCGUCUGCACAAUCCACACGCACCCAAAGACAAUUUAUUUAUCUAUUUUUGGGUCUGAUCAUCGAAAUACAUUGUGUAUAUUGGCAAUUUUUCAGGUGAAGCUUUGCAAUGGGAAGGUGCUUCUUGUUGAAGCUUGCCGAAAGGGGUUUUAUAGCAUAGGGAAGCAGCGGGUUCUCUGUCACAACCUCGUCGAUUUGCUACGGCAGCUUAGUAGAGCCUUCGACAAUGUUAGUAAAGCAUUUGAGUUUCUGUAGUGAUUUGCAUUUAUUCUAUUUCUAACUUUUCAUUUGUGUAUUGAAUAUGUGUAUAUUUAAUUUCUCAUAUUUCAGGCUUAUGAUGAGCUCUUGAAAGCAUUUGCAGAACGGAAUAAGGUAUGGGAUCAUUCAUUAUGCUUUCUUUUAUGAGUCUUUGUGUUAUUAUUUCUGUAUUUUGUAAUUGAUUUUCUUUGAUAUUUUGCAGUUUGGGAACCUUCCUUAUGGGUUUAGAGCAAACACGUGGCUCGUACCCCCUGUUUCAGCGCAGUCACCAUCAGUUUUCCCUGCUCUCCCCGUGGAGGAUGAAACUUGGGGUGGAAAUGGUGGUGGUCUAGGAAGAGAUGGGAAAUUUGAUCUGAUCCCUUGGGCUAAUGAGUUUUGGCAUAUUGCAUCCAUGCCUUGCAAGACAGCCGAGGAGAGGCAGAUUCGUGAUAGGAAAGCAUUCCUUCUUCACAGCCUAUUCGUCGAUGUUUCCAUUUUUAGAGCCAUUAAGGCUGUGCAGCAUGUAAUGGGAAAACCGGAAUUGACUUGUUCAGUUCCAAACAGUGAGAUUCUUUACUCCAAGAGUGUAGGGGACUUGAAUGUCACAGUUAUGAAAGAUGUUUCUAAUGCAAGCUGUAAGGUAGAUACUAAAAUUGAUGGAAUUCAAGCAACUGGAGUGGACGAAGCGAAUCUAGCGCAACGAAACCUUCUGAAAGGGAUCACCGCAGAUGAAAAUACUGCUGCCCACGUAAGUUAUUUCUGAGAUAGUGUUGUUGAUCAAUAAUCUUUGUCUCUACCAAAUGCGAUUUAUUUUGUAACUUUGGUGCGGUUGAGGUCAUUCUUGCUAAAUAUUGUGUGCAGGAUGUCAACACUCUAGGUGUUGUCAAUGUCAGAUACUGUGGUUACAUUGCAGUUGUCAAGGUUGAGGGGAAAGAAAAUAAGAAAGUUGGUUCUCCAUCUCAGAGCAUUGAAUUUGUUGAUCAACCCGAAGGUGGUGCCAAUGCCCUUAAUAUCAACAGGUACGCAAUAAUGUGUCAGUAAGUAUUAUGUAAAGCUACCAACAUGGAGUUUUCAGUGUAAGAGCCCAAUAAUGUGUCAGUGAGUAUUAUGUAAAGCUACCAACCUUUUGUCAUGGAGUUUUGAGUAUAAGAGCCUAACUAGUAUCUUGUUUUUUGCAGUUUAAGAUUACUACUUCACAAGACAAUACCUUCAGAGCAGAAUAAACCGGCAUCACAUAUGCAAACUCUGGAACACGAAGAUCUUUCAGCCUCAUGUGUUUUUGUUGAGGGGGUGUUAGAAGAAAGUCUUGCUAAGCUUGAGAAAGAGGAGCUAGAUUCUGAUAAUUUUGUGAGAUGGGAACUUGGAGCUUGCUGGAUACAACACUUGCAAGACCAAAAAAAUGCAGACAAAGAUAAGAAACCGUCAAACGAGAAGGCUAAAAAUGAGUUGAAGGUUGAGGGACUUGGGACACCUCUUAAAUCUCUUAAGAACAGCAAGAAAAAAUCAGAUGGAGGCAAUACCAAGCUGCAAUCUGAAAGCUCAAAGUCUCAUGUAGAUGGUGUUGUUGCGGAAGUUGAAAAUAGUAUAUCCCCUUCUGUGGAAUCAAAGCUUGAGACUAAUGCCAAAGAAUGAGCUUGUGUUGACAGAGAUAUUGUCUGAUGCUGCCUUUGCUCGACUAAAAGAUUCAGAAACUGGACUUCACUGCAAGGUAAUACAUUAUAGGUGUCACUAGAGGCUUUAGAAUUUAUUUAUUUGUACUACACAUUGUGUACUAAUGUAUUGUGUGCUUGACAGUCUCUGCAAGAACUGAUCGACUUGUCUCAGAAGUAUUACUCUGAAGUUGCUCUUCCCAAACUGGUAAACAUUUUUUUUCUUAAAGCUUGUUAUCUUUUUGCAUGGAAGUAAUGUUUGGUGAUUCUUCUUUCUAUAAAAUAUUCGUAUAAUGCAGGUAGCAGAUUUUGGUUCCUUGGAACUUUCACCGGUUGAUGGUCGGACCUUGACUGAUUUCAUGCAUACUAGAGGUCUUCGGAUGCGCUCUCUGGGGAAUGUUGUAAGUGUGCUUCUAACUUAGGGUUUUCAUUUUUAAUACAUGUCUCAUAUUACUCAUCUACCUAAGAAUCAAUUUCUUUUGUGUCCUCAGUUUUGCUUGGUGUUUAUGUCCCUUCUGAACUUCAUUAACUAUACUCUGUAGUCAGAUUUGUGGUUGUAGUUUGUUUACGUGGCUUUGAUGUAAUAGAAGAAAUAAAAAAGAACAAAAAUCAUGGCAAUUUUCAGAAUAUCUCGAGCUAGCCCUCCCUUUAUUAUGCACUGGUGACCGUUAGACAGUGUUAACCAGUCACGUUAUUAUAAGGCAUCAAAGCUCUAAUCUUCUUUAAGCAUUUCACUAAUAGAAAACAUUAACUUGCAUUGCCUCUCAUCUCCAAACUGAAACUCAUAAGAAAAUUUUGAAAUGCUAUAUGUAGAUGAUAUGUGGAAUGCUGCUUAAAUAGGUUAUCAUAUUGAACGAAAUGACUUUUAUUUCUUUAUAGGUCAAGCUUUCGGAGAAGCUAUCCCAUGUGCAGUCCCUUUGCAUUCAUGAGAUGAUAGUGCGAGCUUUUAAGCACAUACUUCAGGCAGUGAUUGCUGCCGUUGGUAACACUGAGAAAAUGGCUGUUUCAAUUGCUGCUGCAUUAAAUCUUAUGCUGGGGGUUUCUGAUAAUGAAGAAUUAAAUAAGUCUUGCAAUGUUCAUUCUCUUGUGUGGAAAUGGCUGGAGGUAUUCUUGCGAAAGAGAUAUGGAUGGGAUAUUAACAGCUUCAACUAUGACGAUGUGAGGAGAUUUGCGAUUCUACGUGGAUUAUGUCACAAGGUAUAUAUCAUGACACCGCAUAUUAGAUUCUGGAGAUGGCCCACAUUCUUGAAUUCUGACUUCGUAAUUUUACACUGUAUUUUUAAGUUUACACUGACAUUUUGCUUUCUCUUCCCCCUAUCCCCCACCCCCCAAAUUUAGGUGGGUAUUGAGAUGGUUCCAAGGGAUUUUGAUGUGGAUUCUCCAAGUCCGUUCCAAAGUUCAGAUAUUGUCAGCCUAGUCCCAGUGCAUAAGGUGACGACUGGACAUAAAACAUUAGAAGCAUCUGUUUUCCUUUCUUUCGAUUUUUAGAAGGGAUAAGAGUGAUUGCCCAUCUUUAGUAAUUUAACCUUUUCUUUUACUUUUUUCAGCAAGCUGCUUGCUCUUCGGCAGAUGGUAGGCAACUCCUAGAAUCAUCAAAAACAGCUUUAGAUAAGGGAAAACUUGAAGAUGCAGUUGCAUUUGGCACUAAGGUACGCAGACUGGUGCUGGAAGGUUUUCUUUCACCUUUUUAUAUUAAUAUUCUAGUUGGUUACCGGCUGUACUUUGCCAUUUGCAGGCUCUUGCAAAGCUGGUAGCAGUUUGUGGUCCCUACCAUCGAAUGACAGCAGGAGCUUACAGCCUCCUUGCUGUAGUUUUAUAUCACACUGGAGACUUCAAUCAGGUCUGUUCCUAUCCCUUUUGUUUCAGUGUUUCUGGGACAUAUAUAACUGUUACUUUCUGGGUCAAACAGAUUUUAAAUUGGGGGAUCGGCUACAUAUGGUUUCAUAUUUUUAUUGUUGAAGGUGGAACGGAAUGUGCAGAAGUGUGCAAAAUAUAGAAAGUUUGUCUUUCAUUUUGUAAAGGUUUUAUGUCGUGGAUGACCAAUGAUGUGUUCCCAUUACAGGCUACAAUUUAUCAGCAAAAGGCCCUGGAUAUCAACGAGAGAGAAUUAGGGCUUGACCAUCCAGACACCAUGAAGAGUUAUGGGGAUCUUGCUGUGUUCUAUUACAGACUUCAACAUACGGAGCUGGCUCUCAAGUAUGCUUUUUUCUUGUUCAAAAGUGAUCCCGAUGUAUAUAACAUCACAGUUUAUGUGUUUAGGGGAAUAAUUUUCAAAGUGAUGAUGUGAAUGGGUUGCUCUCUCGAUCUUGUGGAUGCAAGCUGCUUGCCAUUUUUGUUUCACAGAUCGAACCUAUGGGGCUAGUUAUGGGGGCAGAUAACCUGCUGUCCCUUUUCUUGUUCAUCGUUGAUGUAUUUCCAUUUAAAGGCAUAGAAACAGGGUGAUAAAUUAGUCAUGAGUCAUAGCUGCAUGCUGCAUAGUCUGUUCAUUCAUUAGUAUACGCGUUAUUUUUUACAUUCCUCACAAGUACAAGCUCAC